This 82-nucleotide transfer RNA is filed under the name Echinostoma caproni. It matches the Rfam family "tRNA". Rfam says of the family: Transfer RNA (tRNA) molecules are approximately 80 nucleotides in length. Their secondary structure includes four short double-helical elements and three loops (D, anti-codon, and T loops). The record is from Rfam by way of RNAcentral. Lineage: Eukaryota; Metazoa; Platyhelminthes; Trematoda; Plagiorchiida; Echinostomatidae.
GGCUUCGUAUCUCAGCUGGUAGAGCGUGCACGUACAAAGCGUAGGUGGCAUCCAUGCUUGGGUUCGAAUCCCACCGAGGCUA